CUGAGGUCAUGGCACGAAUCACAGUGGGGCCUUGCCCGGGUCAGCAGCACCCAGAGUCAGGGUCCUCCGCUGCCUGAGGCGUCAACAUGCCUGCCUGCAACGUGUUUGUGCACGUGCGUGCACACGUGGCCUAGGGGAUGCCAAAUUCCAGGGUCCAGAAAGAGCUUGGGAUAAAAUGAAACUUCAAGGGGACGGCUUUGACCUGGGCUGAGUCUGUCUGUGCCAUCCAACUGGAGUCUCAAGUCCUGAGGCAGGACGUCCAGAUGCCCCAGUGCAGGGCCCUCCUGAUCAACACCUGCUCCCCUGUACUCAUUAGCAACCUCACCCACCCUACUCUCAAAGCACACUUGGCUCUCGUAUCCAGGAGCUCUGCAUCUAUAGGUUCAGCAACAGCAGAUGGAAAAUAUUCAGAAAAUAAAUUGGAUGGUUAUGUUUCUAUUGAACAUGUGCAGACUUUGUUCUUGUCAUCAUUCCCUAAA
This 479-nucleotide long non-coding RNA is filed under the name Homo sapiens (human). RNAcentral describes it as "HSALNT0389519". The record is from RNAcentral. Lineage: Eukaryota; Metazoa; Chordata; Mammalia; Primates; Hominidae.